CAGAAAAGUGCACCUCAUCGUGAUUUCUACAAUAUAAGGAAAGUGGAUACUCAUGUCCAUCAUUCUGCUUGCAUGAACCAAAAACAUCUUCUCCGGUUCAUCAAGUCAAAGUUAAAAAAAGAACCAGAUGAGGUUGUUAUCUACAGUGAUGGUCAGUAUCUUACACUGAAAGAAGUCUUUGACAGCCUGGACUUGACAGGACAAGAGUACCUUUCAUCGCUUUGACAAAUUCAAUCUCAAGUACAAUCCUUGUGGACAAAGUAGACUCAGAGAAAUAUUUCUGAAGCGGGAUAAUCUUAUUCAAGGCCGUUUGUUUGUUUGUUUGAAGGAGAGAGUUUUGGCAAGGGCUGAAGAGUUGCGUGCUGAAGGGGAAGAUCCGGAUUACGAUGCAAUCUUUCUCGAGCUGGGCAAGCGACAAGCUUGUAGUAUUUGAACUAAAUUGUGGAAACUAGUAGUAUUUGAACUUAAUUUGUGAUUUGAUUGAAUUGAAGUGUGAAACAAUAUUUUGUAUCUAUGUAAAAUUUGAAUUUUCGUCA
This is a long non-coding RNA of Salvia splendens (bonfire salvia), 536 nucleotides long. RefSeq lists it as uncharacterized. The record is from RefSeq and is a predicted model, not a curated record. The transcript is spliced from 4 exons. Lineage: Eukaryota; Viridiplantae; Streptophyta; Magnoliopsida; Lamiales; Lamiaceae.